RNAcentral lists this long non-coding RNA (2009 nucleotides) under Ananas comosus (pineapple). RNAcentral's name for it is "long non-coding RNA (ACOM_LNC026178)". The record is from RNAcentral. Lineage: Eukaryota; Viridiplantae; Streptophyta; Magnoliopsida; Poales; Bromeliaceae.
CCUUAUCCACAACUCAAAAGAAACAAACAAGGAUACUACAGUAAUUUUGGAAUAGACAAUAUUUUAUUGUCAGAAUUACUGAAUUUUAUAAAAUGAACCAAACAUAGUUAUUCUAUAUACGUUGUACAUUAUUAUAUUAUUACUACAUUAAACCAAACACAGUAAUGCAGUAGUAAUCUGAUUCAAAAAUCUCAAAUACAUGGUUAUGUCGAAAUAACCUGUAAUGCUGCGUAACGCAAACCAAACACGCCUUAAGAUAAUAUUUGGUCCCACUCAAAUGCAUGUUGUCAGGUUACUAAUAAAUCACCUUUAGGAUGUUAUAAGACCACUGAAGACCGAAACCAGCAUUUUUGAAGAUUUUUUCUCAAAAACUUCUCUUUUAAGAAUCAGCAUGAAAAUUAGGAAGAAAAAAGAAUUUAUUACAUUGCCUUUGAUGCCUUCAAACAUUUUCUAUUUAUAAGAGAUAAUAGCUACGAUGAAAUGACACAACUUUUUAAAUUAUAUUUUUUCACAAAAAGACAUGUUUUUUCACAAAUAGUGAGAAGAUAUAUUCUUUCACAAAGAAUUCAUCUUUUUGUGAAGAAACAUAUCUUUUCGUAAAAAGACACAUCUUUACAUCAAAUGAAAAGACAUAUUUGUUCAUUUGAAUAACUAAUUCAUCAAAGAAACAGAAUCAUUCAUUUAAUUUUAAUUUUAAUUUUAAUUUUAAUUUUAAUUCUUCGAGUUAUUUUCUCAUAUCUAUUAUUACAAUAUAUGCUAGCAAUGUGGGUGAUUGCAAAAGAGAAACAUGGAAGAAACACUAAAGGCCUGUUUGGCCUAACUUCUAAAAAAGUGAUUUCUGAAAAAGUGAUUUUAGUUUGGAGAAUUGAUUUUGGUUAAAAGUUGUAGAGCGUUUGGCAGAGUUUAGAUAAAAGUGAUUUUUCUGAAGUGAUUUUGAAAAACUGUUUGGCAAAUUUUUUUUGAUGUUUGCAUAAAUUAAUAUUUUUAUUAAAUUUUAUUUUAAAAUAAUUUAAAAUCUAAAUUUAAAUUUGAAUUAAAAUUAAAAUUUUUAAAUUUCAAAAUUGUACAAAAUUUAAAAUUUGAUAUUUUAAUUUAAAAAAUAAUUUAAAAUUUUAAAAUUUUAAAAUUUAAAAUAAUUAUGAAAUUUAAAAUUUAAAAAUAUAAAUAUAAAUUUAAAAAUAUAUAUAAUUAUGAAUUUUAAAAUAUAAAAUUUUAAUAUAUAAAAAUAUAAAUUAAAAUUAAAAUUUCAAACUUUAAAUUUAGAAUUUAAAAUUUAAAAUUUAAAAUCUAAAUUUAAAAUUUAAAAUUUAAAAUUUAAAUGUAAAAAUAUAAAUAAUUAUGAAAUUUCAAAUAUAAAAUAUUAAUAUUUAAAAAUAUAUUUAAAUUUUAAAUUUCAAAUUUCAAAUUUUAAAAUUUAAAAUUUAAAAUAAUUAUGAAAUUUAAAAUUUGAAUAUUUAAAAUUUGAAUAUUUAAAUUUUAAAUUUUAAAAUUUUAAAUUUUAAAUUUUAAAAAUUCGAAAUUUAUAAUUUGAAGAUUAAAAAUUAUAAUUUAAAAUUUAAAAAUUUUAAAUUUUAAAAUCUAAAAGAAGUUUGAAAUUUGAAAAUUAAAAGUUGAAAUUUGAAAUUUGAAAUUUGAAAAUCUAAAAUUUGAGAUUUGAAACUUAAAAUUAAAAUUUAAAAUUUAAAGUUUCAAAUCUACUUUUCAAAAUUUAAAAUUUAAAAAUUCGAAAAUAAAUCUGAAAAUUAAAAUUUAAAAUUAAAAUUAAAUUUAAAUAUUGAAAUUAAAAUAAAAAUAAAAAUUUGAAGUUUAAAUCUAAAAUCAGAAUCAGAUUUUAAGAAGCAGUUUUUUUCUGCUUCUGAUUUUGGGCCUUCAAAAUCAGUUUUCUGAUUCUAAAAAGCCGAAUCAGAUUUUAAAAAUAAUUUGCCAAAUGCUCUAUUGAGUCAAAAAUCACUUUUCAGCCCAAAAACGUUUUUUAAAAGCUCGGCCAAACACCCCCUAAGUCCCUCACA